Molecule: ribosomal RNA, 460 nt
Filed under: uncultured bacterium
Lineage: Bacteria
Description: partial 16S ribosomal RNA
Rfam family: Bacterial small subunit ribosomal RNA
Source: RNAcentral
CCUACGGGAGGCAGCAGUGAGGAAUAUUGGUCAAUGGGCUUACGCCUGAACCAGCCAAGUCGCGUGAGGGAAGACUGCCCUAUGGGUUGUAAACCUCUUUUGUCAGGGAGCAACGCCGGCUACGUGUAGCCGGACUGAGAGUACCUGAAGAAAAAGCAUCGGCUAACUCCGUGCCAGCAGACGCGGUAAUACGGAGGAUGCGAGCGUUAUCCGGAUUUAUUGGGUUUACAGGGUGCGUAGGCGGAAUGCCAAGUCAGCGGUAAAAUCGCGGGGCUCAACCUCGCUCCGCCGUUGAAACUGGCGGUCUUGAGUGGGCGAGAAGUAUGCGGAAGGCGUGGUGUAGCGGUGAAAUGCAUAGAUAUCACGCAGAACUCCGAUUGCGAAGGCAGCAUACCGGCGCCCAACUGACGCUGAAGCACGAAAGCGUGGGUAUCGAACAGGAUUAGAUACCCCUGUAGUC